UCCGUAGGCGGGCAAUUAAGUCAGAGGUGAAAUCCCACAGCUCAACUGUGGAACUGCCUUUGAUACUGGUUGUCUUGAGUUAUAGUGAAGUAGAUAGAAUAUGUAGUGUAGCGGUGAAAUGCAUAGAUAUUACAUAGAAUACCGAUUGCGAAGGCAGUCUACUAACUGUAUACUGACACUAAUGGACGAAAGCGUGGGGAGCGAACAGGAUUAGAUACCCUGGUAGUCC
RNAcentral lists this ribosomal RNA (229 nucleotides) under uncultured bacterium. Its description in RNAcentral is "partial 16S ribosomal RNA". It matches the Rfam family "Bacterial small subunit ribosomal RNA", at positions 568 to 796 of the family's 1533-position model. The record is from RNAcentral.